GUGACAGAAGAGAGUGAGCACAGAUGGGUUUUAUUGCAUGAUAUUAGAUGGAGAUAGCUACUACACACAAGGUUUCAUAUGCUUGAAGUCAUGUGUGCUCACUCUCUAUCUGUCAU
RNAcentral lists this microRNA precursor (116 nucleotides) under Helianthus annuus (common sunflower). RNAcentral describes it as "sRNA HanXRQr2_Chr03g0099201". It matches the Rfam family "mir-156 microRNA precursor family". Rfam says of the family: This family represents the plant microRNA (miRNA) precursor mir-156. Animal miRNAs are transcribed as ~70nt precursors and subsequently processed by the Dicer enzyme to give a ~22nt product. In plants the precursor sequences may be longer, and the carpel factory (caf) enzyme appears to be involved in processing. Lineage: Eukaryota; Viridiplantae; Streptophyta; Magnoliopsida; Asterales; Asteraceae. The record is from Rfam by way of RNAcentral.